AGGGAAUUGUAGUCCAUGUAGGUGCUGGCUCUUAGAGGGGAGGAGAAGAGCCGGGUCGUUCUCGUCAGCUGAGGAGAAUGAUUCAUAGAGGAGGGUCAGGAGAGAAAAACAGUUCUGUCUGCAAGCGCCCACUUAAAAGGCUGGACUCUUCUCCGAGGGAGGGAGAGGCAGGAGAGUAAGCCAGGCCUCGGGACUGACCCCGCCUCAGGCCGCUCGUCAGGCCUCUAUCGAGCCCUGGGCCUUGACGGGGGCGGCCGCGAGGCGCCGGUUGCUGGGGGACCGUGACGUCGCGGGGUGAAAGUUGAGGGGCGGUGACGUCGGCCCAGCCCGGGCGGAGGCUGGCGGGUUGGAGGCAGGAGGGAGGGAGGGAAGGAGGGAAGGAAGGAAGCUGGGAACGAGCGAGCGAGCGGGGGCGCGAGGCGUUUACCUGGAGGCAGCGGCUUGGGCGCGCAGAGCGGCCGCGGCUCCCCCGCACCUGCGGCCAUGGAUGAGGAGCGCGCCCUCUACAUCGUCCGGGCCGGCGAGGCGGGGGCUAUCGAGCGGGUCCUGAGGGAUUACAGCGAUAAGCAUAGGGCUACUUUCAAAUUUGAAUCAACAGAUGAAGAUAAAAGAAAGAAACUCUGUGAAGGCAUAUUUAAAGUCCUUGUAAAGGAUAUCCCAACAACAUGUCAAGUGUCCUGCCUGGAAGUUCUCCGCAUUCUCUCCAGAGACAAAAAGGUUUUAGUUCCUGUAACAACCAAGGAAAAUAUGCAGAUACUGCUGCGAUUAGCCAAGCUAAAUGAGUCGGAUGAUUCUUUGGAGAAGGUGUCAGAGUUCCCAGUUAUUGUGGAGUCAUUAAAAUGUCUGUGUAACAUAGUGUUCAACAGUCAGAUGGCACAGCAGCUCAGCCUGGAACUUAACCUUGCUGCAAAGCUCUGUAACCUCCUGAGAAAGUGCAAGGACCGAAAGUUUAUCAAUGACAUUAAGUGCUUUGACUUGCGCUUGCUCUUCCUCCUGUCACUUUUGCACACCGACAUCAGGUCACAAUUGCGCUACGAGCUCCAGGGACUACCGCUGCUAACCCAGAUCUUGGAAAGUGCCUUUAGCAUCAAGUGGACCGAUGAAUAUGAAUCGGCCAUAGACCAUAAUGGACCUCCUCUCUCACCUCAGGAGACAGACUGUGCCAUUGAGGCCCUCAAAGCUCUCUUCAAUGUGACGGUAGACAGUUGGAAGGUGCAUAAAGAGAGUGAUUCUCAUCAGUUCCGUGUCAUGGCAGCUGUCCUUCGCCAUUGUUUACUAAUCGUAGGUCCAACCGAAGACAAAACAGAAGAGCUGCACAGCAAUGCAGUCAACCUUUUAAGCAAUGUUCCAGUCUCUUGUUUGGAUGUUCUCAUUUGUCCAUUAACCCAUGAAGAAACAGCCCAAGAGGCAACGACACUAGAUGAACUGCCCAGUGAUAAAACAGCUGAGAAAGAAACUGUUUUGAAAAAGAAUACCAUGGUAUACAAUGGCAUGAAUAUGGAAGCCAUUCAUGUUUUACUCAAUUUUAUGGAGAAGAGAAUAGACAAGGGAAGCAGCUAUAGAGAAGGUCUAACUCCAGUUCUCAGCUUAUUAACAGAAUGUUCCCGAGCCCAUCGAAACAUCAGAAAAUUUCUCAAAGAUCAGGUUUUACCACCAUUGAGGGAUGUGACAAAUCGACCUGAAGUUGGCUCAACUGUGAGAAAUAAGCUGGUGCGCCUCAUGACACAUGUUGACCUUGGAGUCAAGCAAAUUGCUGCUGAAUUCCUUUUUGUCCUUUGCAAAGAGAGAGUGGACAGCCUGCUGAAAUACACUGGCUAUGGGAAUGCUGCAGGACUGUUGGCGGCCAGGGGCCUCUUGGCUGGAGGAAGAGGCGAUAACUGGUACUCAGAGGAUGAGGACACAGACACUGAAGAAUACAAAAAUGCAAAACCAAACAUUAAUCUUAUCACUGGUCAUUUAGAGGAACCAAUGCCAAACCCCAUAGAUGAAAUGACAGAAGAACAAAAAGAAUAUGAAGCCAUGAAACUUGUCAACAUGCUUGAUAAACUUUCCAGGAGAGCAGAUGUGAAGGACCUGCACCAGGAUGGUGGUUAGCGACAGUGGCCCGUGCCAAAGCACUUACCAAAGUGAUGACUAAGACCCUGUCAUUAAUUCCAUGUGUCAAUACUGCCCUGUAGUACACAGAGCAGACAAGAAAGAAGAGCCCUUGAAAACAAGGGAAUGAUUUUUGAGUCGUUAUCAAGCUAAGUGGCAAGCGGGAAGCUGAAACUCGUAUAGUUGAACAUUCUUGGAGGCUUAUCUCUUCCCUGGCCAGAUGCCUGAUCAGAUGAGAAGCCCGCCAUGAUACUGUCACAGUGCCUAGAAUGGGCUCUUUAUCCAGUAGACAUCACUGUACUUUUUGAUGAUAACGAGGGCAGUCUUAACUUGUGUUAAGGCCUGUGUAUAGCAUUGAAGAGAGGAGUUGCUUAAACCAAUGGGACUAAAACCUGAUGGGACAAUAACGCCUUUGGAGGAAGCACUCAACCAGUACUCUGUCAUCGAGGAGACCAGCUCUG
Lontra canadensis (Northern American river otter) is the source of this 2555-nucleotide RNA transcript. It is a transcript of the gene named RIC8 guanine nucleotide exchange factor B, with no coding region annotated. NCBI's taxonomy places the organism in Eukaryota, Metazoa, Chordata, Mammalia, Carnivora, Mustelidae. The transcript has 13 exons. The record is from RefSeq and is a predicted model, not a curated record.